Molecule: ribosomal RNA, 305 nt
Filed under: uncultured bacterium
Lineage: Bacteria
Description: bacterial SSU rRNA
Rfam family: Bacterial small subunit ribosomal RNA
Source: RNAcentral
GCCCUACGGGAGGCAGCAGUGGGGAAUAUUGGGCAAUGGGCGCAAGCCUGACCCAGCAACGCCGCGUGAAGGAAGAAGGCUUUCGGGUUGUAAACUUCUUUUAAGAGGGACGAAGGAAGUGACGGUACCUCUUGAAUAAGCCACGGCUAACUACGUGCCAGCAGCCGCGGUAAUACGUAGGUGGCAAGCGUUAUCCGGAUUUAUUGGGUUUAAAGGGUGCGUAGGCGGAAUGCCAAGUCAGCGGUAAAAUCGCGGGGCUCAACCUCGCUCCGCCGUUGAAACUGGCGUUCUUGAGUGGGCGAGAA